Molecule: ribosomal RNA, 254 nt
Filed under: uncultured bacterium
Lineage: Bacteria
Description: partial 16S ribosomal RNA
Rfam family: Bacterial small subunit ribosomal RNA
Source: RNAcentral
UACGGGGGGAGCAAGCGUUGUUCGGAUUUACUGGGCGUAAAGGGCGCGUAGGCGGUCAGCACAAGUCAGUUGUGAAAUCUCCGGGCUUAACCCGGAAAGGUCAACUGAUACUGUGCGACUAGAGUGCGGAAGGGGCAACUGGAAUUCUCGGUGUAGCGGUGAAAUGCGUAGAGAUCCGGAGGAACACCAGUGGCGAAGGCGGCCUUCUGGGUCCGCCCUGACGCUGAGGCGCGAAAGCGUGGGGAGCGAACGGG